This 337-nucleotide long non-coding RNA is filed under the name Elaeis guineensis (African oil palm). RNAcentral describes it as "long non-coding RNA (EGUI_LNC077128)". The record is from RNAcentral. Lineage: Eukaryota; Viridiplantae; Streptophyta; Magnoliopsida; Arecales; Arecaceae.
AUUGGGAGAGGUCCAAUACAUAUCCGAUUUCAGACAGAAUCUUAUCUCACUGAGCAGAUUGGAUUCGAGAGGCUAUAGGACGGUAGCUGGUGGAGAAAUCUUGAAGGUGCUAUGCGACAAUAGGAUUACUCAAGAGGAGAAGAAGGGGAAGAGAGGAUAUUAUUACCUAACGGGGAGUCCAGUGCGAGGUGGAGCUUCAGGAGCUAGGAGGAGCCCAGAGCAAGGUGGAGCUCCAGGUGGAGGUGGAUCGAGCAUGAGACAGGAGACUCGGGAGGAUGAGAAGCAAUAUCGCAAGGUGAGAUUUCUAUUACCACAGGAUGAUACCCCGAGCAAGUCU